This 72-nucleotide transfer RNA is filed under the name Diaporthe longicolla. RNAcentral's name for it is "tRNA-Trp". It matches the Rfam family "tRNA". Rfam says of the family: Transfer RNA (tRNA) molecules are approximately 80 nucleotides in length. Their secondary structure includes four short double-helical elements and three loops (D, anti-codon, and T loops). Lineage: Eukaryota; Fungi; Ascomycota; Sordariomycetes; Diaporthales; Diaporthaceae. The record is from RNAcentral.
AAAGAGUAUAGUUUAAUGGUAAAAUAAGAAGCUUCAACCUUCCGGUUCUCAGUUCGAAUCUGAGUGCUCUUG